CCUACGGGAGGCUGCAGUGAGGAAUAUUGGUCAAUGGGCUUACGCCUGAACCAGCCAAGUCGCGUGAGGGAAGACUGCCCUAUGGGUUGUAAACCUCUUUUGUCAGGGAGCAAUUGGCGCUACGUGUAGCGUUAUCGAGAGUACCUGCAGAAAAAGCAUCGGCUAACUCCGUGCCAGCAGCCGCGGUAAUACGGAGGAUGCGAGCGUUAUCCGGAUUUAUUGGGUUUAAAGGGUGCGUAGGCGGAAUGCCAAGUCAGCGGUAAAAUCGCGGGGCUCAACCUCGCUCCGCCGUUGAAACUGGCGUGCUUGAGUGGGCGAGAAGUAUGCGGAAUGCGUGGUGUAGCGGUGAAAUGCAUAGAUAUCACGCAGAACUCCGAUUGCGAAGGCAGCAUACCGGCGCCCAACUGACGCUGAAGCACGAAAGCGUGGGUAUCGAACAGGAUUAGAUACCCCAGUAGUC
Molecule: ribosomal RNA, 460 nt
Filed under: uncultured bacterium
Lineage: Bacteria
Description: partial 16S ribosomal RNA
Rfam family: Bacterial small subunit ribosomal RNA
Source: RNAcentral